RNAcentral lists this ribosomal RNA (447 nucleotides) under uncultured bacterium. RNAcentral describes it as "partial 16S ribosomal RNA". It matches the Rfam family "Bacterial small subunit ribosomal RNA", at positions 329 to 793 of the family's 1533-position model. The record is from RNAcentral.
UGCCAGACUCCUACGGGAGGCAGCAGUGGGGAAUAUUGCACAAUGGGGGAAACCCUGAUGCAGCGACGCCGCGUGAAGGAUGAAGUAUUUCGGUAUGUAAACUUCUAUCAGCAGGGAAGAAAAUGACGGUACCUGACUAAGAAGCCCCGGCUAACUACGUGCCAGCAGCCGCGGUAAUACGUAGGGGGCAAGCGUUAUCCGGAUUUACUGGGUGUAAAGGGAGCGUAGACGGCAUGGCAAGUCUGAUGUGAAAACCCGGGGCUCAACCCCGGGACUGCAUUGGGAACUGCCCCGCUCGAGUGCCGGAGGGGCAGGCGGAAUUCCUAGUGUAGCGGUGAAAUGCGUAGAUAUUAGGAGGAACACCAGUGGCGAAGGCGGCCUGCUGGACGAUGACUGACGCUGAGGCUCGAAAGCGUGGGGAGCAAACAGGAUUAGAUACCCUUGUAA